GUGGUCCCUGGGAUUUCUAGACGUUACGUGCCACAUCAGCCUGUUGGGUGUCCUCCUCGAAGCCGUACAAGUGAUGGCUGGUUCCCUUUUCUGAGCUCGACCGUGGCUGCGGUAAAUCGCAGAAAACGGAAAAUGUGCGUUGAGUUUCGGCGCGCUCGAUAUGAAGAACAUGUCGUUGAUGGGCCUUUGCCGAAGGAUUGGCAUGGUUUCUCGGUUUAUGUGAGUUCGGAGGUGACUGGGGUAGACCGCAACAGACGGAAAAGACGGAAAGUGUCGAUUAAAUUGCGACGUCCUGGAUGCGAAGAGAUUGUUGUCCAAGGGCCUAUGCCGAAGGAUUGGCAAGGUUUCUCGGUCAAGUUUGCCGAGUCCCUUAAAGCUUGCUAUGCAGAUAGGUCGUACUACGGCCCUCCAGAUUUCUUGUGCCAAUACUGUGGUGCCUCCUUUUGGUUUGCUGAGUGUUCAAAGUCCAGGUCAUCCUGGACACAACGUAAGAUGGUUUAUAAUCGCUGUUGUGAAGGCGCUAAGCUAUAUAUUCCU
Non-coding RNA from Triticum urartu, 537 nucleotides. Lineage: Eukaryota; Viridiplantae; Streptophyta; Magnoliopsida; Poales; Poaceae. The record is from RefSeq and is a predicted model, not a curated record.